GCUAGCAGCAUACCACCCUGCAUCCCACUGCUGGCUUGCCUCUGAAGCUGAGCAGGGUUGGUCCUGGAUGGGAGACCAGAUGCUGCUGGAA
Ribosomal RNA from Hucho hucho (huchen), 91 nucleotides. The record is from Ensembl. NCBI's taxonomy places the organism in Eukaryota, Metazoa, Chordata, Actinopteri, Salmoniformes, Salmonidae.